RNAcentral lists this long non-coding RNA (626 nucleotides) under Dromaius novaehollandiae (emu). Its description in RNAcentral is "lncRNA (ENSDNVG00000013872.1)". Lineage: Eukaryota; Metazoa; Chordata; Aves; Casuariiformes; Dromaiidae. The record is from RNAcentral.
GCAUAGUAUCCUAUAUGUGCUUUAAGGACUUAAUAUUUACUUUCAUUGAAAGUUUUUCAACCUGAAACUUCUUGUUUUCUUUCUAUGGCAUCUAGUGCAGUGGCAUCACGUUCCAUCAGUACAACUCCAGAUUCUACAGCAUAGAAAUGAACAACAACCACAACCACAAGAAAUAAUUAUUAUGUCUUCAGGAGUGGAGUACCCAGGGAGCCAUCCCAGGACAAUGGUUUAUUACUCAGUCUGACAGAAACAUACCUACUGCUGAAUUCCAGCUCAGUAUUCUCAUCCUAUCAUAAAGGCUAUUCUACUUAAAGGCACAAAGGAAAGGAGAGAUCCAACAGUCAGAAAAAACAGAAAACAGCAAAGAUGGCUACAGUGAGAACCAGCUUUUCUCUAAACAUCAGCCUUACCAGAAUUUGAUUCAGAUUGCUCAGGGCAGGCCUUUCUUGGAUUUGGCAGAAGGCCGGAGCCAUAUAAGUAAUGGUCAACUCAACACAUCUUGCUAUACACUAUUAAAAACAUGCUCAACAUGACACCUCUAAACACUGAACUUAUCUCCUGCCGUUUGGUAAGUAAAAAGCAAAAAGCAAAAUGUCACACACAAACCAAGAGACAAACCCUCAAAG